This 253-nucleotide ribosomal RNA is filed under the name uncultured bacterium. RNAcentral's name for it is "partial 16S ribosomal RNA". It matches the Rfam family "Bacterial small subunit ribosomal RNA", at positions 524 to 776 of the family's 1533-position model. The record is from RNAcentral.
UACGUAGGGUGCAAGCGUUAAUCGGAAUUACUGGGCGUAAAGCGUGCGCAGGCGGUUCUAUAAGACAGAUGUGAAAUCCCCGGGCUCAACCUGGGAACUGCAUUUGUGACUGUAGAGCUGGAGUGCGGCAGAGGGGGAUGGAAUUCCGCGUGUAGCAGUGAAAUGCGUAGAUAUGCGGAGGAACACCGAUGGCGAAGGCAAUCGCCUGGGCCUGCACUGACGCUCAUGCACGAAAGCGUGGGGAGCAAACAGG